UUGUAAUGUGGCUUAGGUUGCAAGAAAGGGUAUGAUUAAGAGAAUUCAACAAGGUUGCCUAUCCUAAGGGAGCAUUCCCAAAGAUUCAACUCUACACAAUUUCCUUUUCCUUGGUCCCAUCUUUUCUUUUCAAAUCCACACAACCAUGAGCAUUUUUUUUUUUUUUUUUUUUUUAUGCUCUAUGGUUUCAAGGGUGAUUUCUUUUUCUUGUUUCUUUUCAUAUUCUUACCCUUCCAUAGAAACUCACUAUUCCAAGUUCCUAUCAACUCUUCACUUUACUCUCCCCAACUUUAGAUUCCACAACCAGAUUUAUUCAAUAAUGCUCCCUACUUAAAAUAAGCAAAAGGCAAAAUUUUUGCAAACAACUCGGUUUGAGGUUUCAACUGAUACGAAAGAAAUUAGGAUUCAUUUAUUCCACAAAUUUCAAUUGAUUUUACAAUGAUCAAUCAAAUGAAUCCUAAUUAGCUCAAAGGGGGUCAACUAAGGAUUACUCCUCACAAGGUUCGUUGAUUUAAGCGUUUUGGUCAAGUGGUUUUCUCACAAACAAAAUGCCUCUAUCAUAUUCAAAAAUUUCACACAACAUUAGAUUGAUGCAUGAUUUAGCAUGAUAAGAAUGAGUCAAAAUAAUGCUCGGUUUCCCGCUUUUUUUAGUGCACAAUGGAAAGCUUCCUCACAAAUGGUUAAGUCCUAUUUUGAUUCAAACUGACAUAUACUUCAAUGAAUUUAUGAAAUGGAAUUUGCACAAAACAUCAACCUACUCAUGCUAAGUCUAGAAAGCGAUAAAGUGUACCUUGAAAUGCCGACACUAAUUCUUAUCAUCACCACUCGAAGUAUCCUAUGCUUCUUUCUUUGCGAAUAAUUCUUGGUUGCUUUAGGCUUGACUUAAGCGUAAGAACAAUUAAAUAGGACUGUUGGUAAACCAAUUUGAUUAAAAACACACUUAAAUUUCAAAAA
This 954-nucleotide long non-coding RNA is filed under the name Lathyrus oleraceus (garden pea). RNAcentral's name for it is "Pisum sativum (pea) long non-coding RNA (PSAT_LNC014930)". Lineage: Eukaryota; Viridiplantae; Streptophyta; Magnoliopsida; Fabales; Fabaceae. The record is from RNAcentral.